AGUGAACGCUGGCGGUAGGCCUAACACAUGCAAGUCGAACGGCAGCACAGUAAGAGCUUGCUCUUACGGGUGGCGAGUGGCGGACGGGUGAGGAAUACAUCGGAAUCUACUUUUUCGUGGGGGAUAACGUAGGGAAACUUACGCUAAUACCGCAUACGACCUACGGGUGAAAGCAGGGGAUCUUCGGACCUUGCGCGAGUGAAUGAGCAGAUGUCGGAUUAGCUAGUUGGCGGGGUAAAGGCCCACCAAGGCGACGAUCCGUAGCUGGUCUGAGAGGAUGAUCAGCCACACUGGAACUGAGACACGGUCCAGACUCCUACGGGAGGCAGCAGUGGGGAAUAUUGGACAAUGGGCGCAAGCCUGAUCCAGCCAUGCCGCGUGAGUGAAGAAGGCCUUCGGGUUGUAAAGCCCUUUUGUUGGGAAAGAACAGCAGCAGGUUAAUACCCCGCUGUUCUGACGGUACCCAAAGAAUAAGCACCGGCUAACUUCGUG
This 492-nucleotide ribosomal RNA is filed under the name uncultured bacterium. RNAcentral's name for it is "partial 16S ribosomal RNA". It matches the Rfam family "Bacterial small subunit ribosomal RNA", at positions 29 to 507 of the family's 1533-position model. The record is from RNAcentral.